GACGAACGCUGGCGGCGUGCUUAACACAUGCAAGUCGAACGGAAAGGCCCUGCUUUUGUGGGGUGCUCGAGUGGCGAACGGGGGAGUAACACGUGAGUAACCUGCCCUUGACUUUGGGAUAACUUCAGGAAACUGGGGCUCAUACCGGAUAGGAGCUCCUGCUGCAUGGUGGGGGUUGGAAAGUUUGGGCGGUUGGGGAUGGACUAGCGGGUUAUCAGCUUGUUGGUGGGGUAGUGGCUUACCAAGGCUUGGAAGGGUAGCCGGCCUGAGAGGGUGACCGGCCACACUGGGACUGAGAUACGGCACAGACUCCUACGGGAGGCAGCAGUGGGGAAGAUUGCACAAUGGGCGGAAGCCUGACGCAGCAACGCCGCGUGCGGGAUGACGGCCUUCGGGUUGUAAACCGCUUUCGCCUGAGACGAAGCGUGAGUGACGGUAACGGGUAAAGAAGCACCGGCUAACUACGUG
This 468-nucleotide ribosomal RNA is filed under the name uncultured bacterium. RNAcentral describes it as "partial 16S ribosomal RNA". It matches the Rfam family "Bacterial small subunit ribosomal RNA", at positions 28 to 507 of the family's 1533-position model. The record is from RNAcentral.